AGCGAACGCUGGCGGCAGGCUUAACACAUGCAAGUCGAGCGGGCAUAGCAAUAUGUCAGCGGCAGACGGGUGAGUAACGCGUGGGAAUGUACCUUUUGGUUCGGAACAACACAGGGAAACUUGUGCUAAUACCGGAUAAGCCCUUACGGGGAAAGAUUUAUCGCCGAAAGAUCGGCCCGCGUCUGAUUAGCUAGUUGGUGAGGUAAUGGCUCACCAAGGCGACGAUCAGUAGCUGGUCUGAGAGGAUGAUCAGCCACAUUGGGACUGAGACACGGCCCAAACUCCUACGGGAGGCAGCAGUGGGGAAUAUUGGACAAUGGGCGCAAGCCUGAUCCAGCCAUGCCGCGUGAGUGAUGAAGGCCCUAGGGUUGUAAAGCUCUUUUGUGCGGGAAGAUAAUGACGGUACCGCAAGAAUAAGCCCCGGCUAACUUCGUG
This 435-nucleotide ribosomal RNA is filed under the name uncultured bacterium. RNAcentral's name for it is "partial 16S ribosomal RNA". It matches the Rfam family "Bacterial small subunit ribosomal RNA", at positions 29 to 507 of the family's 1533-position model. The record is from RNAcentral.